CAGACACUAGACAAUCAAUGAACCAAUAAAUCCAGCCCCGAAUUUGUUGUCUUUGAGGUGUAAAUGCUCACAAUGCAUUUUUGACAAUCCUGAGUCAACAGCCCUGGGUCGAAAGGUCAGGGGGAGUUUCCUGAAGAGGAUGAAACUUGAUCUGGGCCCAAAGCAUCGAACAGGCAGAAGACGGUUGCCAUUCAGUCCAUUCAGUCCGCAUCACAACCAGCGCUGCAAGGAGUAUCUUCUCUGAAAUGAAGGUUGUACAAGUACAAGGCUGUUACAGGAAUUUGAACCCAGCUCUCGUCUGACUCCUUUCACUCUAUGGAAUGCCUCUUAGGAAAUGCAGAUCCCAACACUCUGGCACAGAGGCAACAUGGAACAGGAGGAAUACAGAAGGAUCUGGAUCUGGAAAGCCUAGAUUCACUUACCAUCUAUAUGAGGAAACUGAGGUUCAGAGGCAGAAGUGAUUUGCUCACAAUCGCCCAGUUGGAAAGUGGCCAAACCUGGACACAAGCCCAGAACUACGAAGUGACACGCAGAAUGGCCUGUGCUCAAGCAGGAAAGCUGUUUGCUACUCAGAAUAAUCGGAACUAACUUUGCAGCUAACCUUGACGGGGGCUGGAGCACACUGUUUCCUCCAAACAGCUGAAAUGAUAGCUUGCAACUUCUAAAAUAACUUGCUUCUCUACGCUGUCCUAGAGCAAGCCCGGAGUGUUGGGGCCUUGUGGUUAGCACAGUGGGGGUUGUGGUGGCAG
Phascolarctos cinereus (koala) is the source of this 749-nucleotide non-coding RNA. Lineage: Eukaryota; Metazoa; Chordata; Mammalia; Diprotodontia; Phascolarctidae. The record is from RefSeq and is a predicted model, not a curated record.